RNAcentral lists this small RNA (109 nucleotides) under Caulobacterales bacterium. RNAcentral describes it as "Manganese sequence". It matches the Rfam family "Manganese Mn2+ riboswitch aptamer (yybP-ykoY)". From Rfam's summary of the family: This RNA was originally discovered in E. coli during a large scale screen and was named SraF. Lineage: Bacteria; Pseudomonadati; Pseudomonadota; Alphaproteobacteria; Caulobacterales. The record is from RNAcentral.
CCCGGCGUCACUGGGGAGUAGCCGCCCGCACCGAUCAGCGGGGGAUGCGUCAACACACUUGGGGCUGCGGCUCCAUGGCGCACCGGGACCAAGACGGGCCGCGAGGCCC